RNAcentral lists this unclassified non-coding RNA (200 nucleotides) under soil metagenome. Its description in RNAcentral is "partial contains internal transcribed spacer 2 and large subunit ribosomal RNA". The record is from RNAcentral.
GGAUGUGGGGGUUUGCUGGCCUCUUAAUCUUAAGAGUUCAGCUCUCCUGAAAUGCAUUAGCAGAACAACCUUAUGUUCAUUGGUGUGAUAACUAUCUACGCUAUUGAAUGUUGAGGGGGAAGUUCAGCUUUCUAACGGUCCCUUGGACAACUCAUCAUUAAUGUGACCUCAAAUCAGGUAGGACUACCCGCUGAACUUAA